Long non-coding RNA from Nerophis ophidion (straightnose pipefish), 1943 nucleotides. RefSeq lists it as uncharacterized. The transcript is spliced from 3 exons. Lineage: Eukaryota; Metazoa; Chordata; Actinopteri; Syngnathiformes; Syngnathidae. The record is from RefSeq and is a predicted model, not a curated record.
AGUUUCUUUUCCUUCAUGAAUUAUGUUAAUUGAGAAUGUUUCACUGAAAAAUUGCACAUUUAGCUGACAUUACUGGUAAAAAAAUAUAUAUACAUGCAGAGAGUCUAUGUAGGAAAGCAAUGUUUUAUCAAUCAGAGUCAGGAAUUCAACCAAAUCAAAAAGUAGAUGUUUAGUACCUGGCAUGCAGAGAAGGAGGACCACCAACCCGGUCUUCAGACUCAUAUUGGAGUAAGUGAACAAGUAGAAAUGUGUGCGUCCACAGGUCGCAAGAAGGAAGUGGUCAUGACGUUCAAUAAGAUAAAGAAGAAGAAGUGGCCUUCUUCUUCUUUAUCUUAUUGACAUGCAGGAAUAAAACCCACUCAUGAAAUGCACUUUUCUGUGUUAUUUUCGUUGCAGGUUCCUCUAAGAACUUCAACGCACUUUUAAAAACAUGCCUGAGGCGUUAAUGCGGGGGUCAGCAACCCGCGGCUCUAGAGCAACAUGCGGCUCUUGAGCGGCGCCCUGGUGGCUCCAUGGAGCCUUUUUCGAAAAAAUGUAUUAAAAUGGGGAAAAAAUGUAUUGAAAAUGAUGUUUUUUUGUUGUGAUCUGGUUUCUGUAGGAGCACAAACACGACACUGUCAAGACGUGGACUAUGGUGCGGUUUGUUUUCCCGUGGUGCAAAGCGACUUGACUGGACACGACGUGAAGCUGGUUCUCCACAGUACACAAAUACUCUGCUGAGUCUGAACACUUGAUGGACUUGAAGACCAGUUGUCGACCUUUACUGAGGACUUCAUCAUCUGAAGACACAUUCUUCUUCUUGUACCAGCAGUAAUCAUCUGUUGCUGAGGAGUAGUCGAAGUUGUCGAUGUCGCAGCACAGACAAAACAUGAGUCAGCAAAUGUCAGGACUUGGACUUGGACGUGGAUUGUUUUCCCGAGGUGCCAAGCAAAUGGAGUGGAAACGGCGUGAAGGUGAAGACAUCUUUUUAUUUUGACGAUAUAAAAACCUACAAAACAGGCAAACAAAAGGCGCUCCCAAUGGGCGUACAAAACUUAGCUAUUAAAAACAAAAACGUGCACUAAGACAAAACUAUGGGCAUGAUCUAAAACUUGCACGAUUGCAGAACUAUGAAUAACCAAAACGAUAACACUCACUGUGACCGAAACAAGGGGCAUGGAUCAUUGGCAUGGAUCAUUAAAAGGUGCGUAGCAGGUGAAGGAGCUGAUGUUGCCAGAAUGAACAGACAGGCUUAAAUAAUACUGUGGUGAUUAGUGAAACAGGUGUGAAACAUGAGGACAGGGGCGUGACAUGAGGACAAGGUGAAAACUAAUGAGUUGGCAUGGUAAUAAGACAAACAUAGAAGUGCAAAAACUAGAAAAAAUGGAGUCUUAAAGGGGAACAUUAUCAGCAGACCUAUGUAAGCGUCAAUAUAUACCUUGAUGGUGCAGAAAAAAGACCAUCUAUUUUUUUAACCGAUUUCCGAACUCUAAAUGGGUGAAUUUUGGCGAAUUAAACGCCUUUCUAUUUAUCGCUCUCGGAGCAAUGACGUCAGAACGUGACGUCACCUAGUUAGUCAAUCGACCAUUUUGUCAAACAUAUUAUACACAUCGAGCCAAAUCAGCUCUGUUAUUUUACAAUUUUUCGACUGUUUUCCGUACCUUGGAGACAUCAUGCCUCGUCAGUGUGUUGUCGGAGGGUGUUACAACACUAACAGGGACAUAUUCAAGUUGAUUUACGUAGAAUGCUAAUCGAUGCUAACAUGCUAUUUACCGGCGAUGCUAAGACAGACAUGGCACAGAGAUGUAUGGAUAACCUGCAGAUGCAUUUUCAACGAUAAAGGCAAAGAAAUCACACAGGUGAGUGUUGUUGAUGUUAUUGACUUAUGUGCUAAUCAGACACAUUUGGUCGCGGCAUGACUGCCAGCUAAUCGAUGCUAACAUGCUAUUUUGGCUAGCUGUAUG